RNAcentral lists this transfer RNA (56 nucleotides) under Radopholus similis. RNAcentral's name for it is "transfer RNA-Pro". Lineage: Eukaryota; Metazoa; Nematoda; Chromadorea; Rhabditida; Pratylenchidae. The record is from RNAcentral.
AUUGAUUUAUUUUAGUUAAAAUUUUUCUUUUGGGUAGAAAAGAAUUUUAUCAAUUU